RNAcentral lists this ribosomal RNA (425 nucleotides) under uncultured bacterium. RNAcentral's name for it is "bacterial SSU rRNA". It matches the Rfam family "Bacterial small subunit ribosomal RNA", at positions 354 to 796 of the family's 1533-position model. The record is from RNAcentral.
GUGGGGAAUAUUGCACAAUGGAGGAAACUCUGAUGCAGCGAUGCCGCGUGAGGGAAGAAGGUUUUCGGAUUGUAAACCUCUGUCUUCAGGGACGAUAAUGACGGUACCUGAGGAGGAAGCUCCGGCUAACUACGUGCCAGCAGCCGCGGUAAUACGUAGGGAGCGAGCGUUGUCCGGAAUUACUGGGUGUAAAGGGAGCGUAGGCGGGAUCUUAAGUCAGGUGUGAAAACUAUGGGCUCAACCCAUAGACUGCACUUGAAACUGAGGUUCUUGAGUGAAGUAGAGGCAGGCGGAAUUCCUAGUGUAGCGGUGAAAUGCGUAGAUAUUAGGAGGAACAUCAGUGGCGAAGGCGGCCUGCUGGGCUUUUACUGACGCUGAGGCUCGAAAGCGUGGGGAGCAAACAGGAUUAGAAACCCUAGUAGUCC